GCGAGAACGAAGAGCUGUACUUCAUUUUCUUAUGUAAUUUUUUUUCAUCGUAACAUAGAUCGAUAAUAAGGAACACGAAACCCAUCGGUAAUCGGUCAAAAAAGAGAGCACCCAAACGGAACAGAGUAAACAGAGCCACAAAAUGAAAACGAAAAAGAGAUCCUGCUAAGAUUUUUCCUUCACCACACUAAUACUUCGAAACCAAAAGCUAAAAACUCAUAAAAGCCGGCCUAAUUUCUCCAUCCUCCUUCAGAUCCACCGCCGCCACCCCUGGAGUAACGAGAUCCACCAUCACCACCACCACCACCGUAGCCACGGUCACGUCCACCACCGUAACCACCUCCUCCGUAUCCACCUCCUCCUCCACCGUAACCACCGCCUCCACGGCUGUAACCACCACCGCCUCCUCCUUCACGGCGUCCACCGUAUCCACCUCCACCACCACCACCACCGCGGCUGUAACCACCGCCGCCACCUCCACCUCUUUGCUGCGCCUCGUUGACGGUAAUACUACGACCGUCAAGAUUCUGGCCGUUCAUUGCUUCAAUAGCACUUCUCAUCGCCUCCUCCUCAGCAAACGUAACGAAACCAAAUCCUCUCGACCUUCCGGUUUCACGAUCGUUGACGAUCUUGGCUUCAACGAUAUCGCCAAAUGGAGAGAAAGCCUUCUCUAAGGCAUUACUAUCAGUGGCCCAAGCAAGGCCACCCACAAAGCAACGGUACUCAACAGAAGAGGAAGCCAUUGAAUCAGAACGGAAAACCCUAACCCUAAAAAGGAAAAGAUUUAGAGAGAAAGAGGUGAAUCAACACAAAUCCCAA
This 819-nucleotide unclassified non-coding RNA is filed under the name Hevea brasiliensis (rubber tree). The record is from RNAcentral. Lineage: Eukaryota; Viridiplantae; Streptophyta; Magnoliopsida; Malpighiales; Euphorbiaceae.